GGAGAGAUAGAAAGGAAGGAUGAAGGGAGAUAUAGAGCGAGGGAUGACUGGAGGGAUAGAAGGAGGAUAGAAGGGAGGGAUAGAAAGGAGAGAUAGAAGGGAGGGAUGAAGGGAGAUAUAGAAGGGAGGGGUGAAUGGAGGGAUAGAAGGGAGAGAUAGAAGGGAGGAUAGAAGGGAGGGAUAGAAAGGAGAGAAAGAAGGGAGAGAUAGAAGGGAGGGAUGAAUUGAGGGAUAGAAGGGAGAGAUAGAAGGGAGAGAUAGAAGGGAGGGAGGAAGGAGAUAGAGAAGAGAGAGAGAGAAGGGAGGGAUAGAAGGGAGGGAUGAAGG
Molecule: long non-coding RNA, 327 nt
Organism: Oncorhynchus tshawytscha (Chinook salmon)
Lineage: Eukaryota; Metazoa; Chordata; Actinopteri; Salmoniformes; Salmonidae
Source: Ensembl